CAAUCUGACAGUAGAGUGGCGCGAAGGGUGACGUAACGCGUAAGUAACUUCGCCCCAAGGUAAGGAAUAACGUCGAGAAAUCGGCGACUAAUACCUCAUAAUGCAGCGGAUCCGCAUGGAUAUGUUGUUAAAGGUUUACCGCCUUGGGAUAGGCUUGCGUCUGAUUAGCUAGUUGGUGUGGUAACGGCACACCAAGGCUACGAUCAGUAACUGGUCUGAGAGGAUGAUCAGUCACACUGGAACUGAGACACGGUCCAGACUCCUACGGGAGGCAGCAGUGAGGAAUAUUGGGCAAUGCUCGAAAGAGUGACCCAGCAACGCCGCGUGGAGGAUGAAGGUAUUCUAUAUCGUAAACUCCUGUGAGAGCAGACGAAAGACAGAUUAUUAAUCUGGAUGACUGUAUGCUCAGAGGAAGCCCCGGCUAACUACGUG
RNAcentral lists this ribosomal RNA (432 nucleotides) under uncultured bacterium. RNAcentral describes it as "bacterial SSU rRNA". It matches the Rfam family "Bacterial small subunit ribosomal RNA", at positions 80 to 507 of the family's 1533-position model. The record is from RNAcentral.